UACAUACUCCCUCUGUUCGGAAUUACUUGUCUUGGAUAUGGAUGUAUCUAGAACUAAAACACGUCUAGAUACAUUCAUUUCUGCAACAAGUAAUUCCGAACGGAGGGAGUACCUA
Triticum urartu is the source of this 115-nucleotide non-coding RNA. Lineage: Eukaryota; Viridiplantae; Streptophyta; Magnoliopsida; Poales; Poaceae. The record is from Rfam.